Molecule: long non-coding RNA, 583 nt
Filed under: Androctonus crassicauda
Lineage: Eukaryota; Metazoa; Arthropoda; Arachnida; Scorpiones; Buthidae
Source: RNAcentral
AAACCCUUCCCAUUCCAGAUCACCCUAGACCUAGGCGUCCCCAGACCCCUGAGGCUUACCAGCCGGUGCCUGCAUCAACCACCGCCCUGGCUGUAAGCAGGAAGGAAGAUCUCACGGUCGCCUGGGUGUGCAGAACCUCGGCAUUAAAGGUUCAUCCAGGCCUUCCUCAGUUUAAAAAGCACUGGUCUCGGAAAGGCACCACUCAGUUUCAGCCGGGGCAGUGGAGCUGCAGAAGCAGCUGGAGGGAGCAGGGCCAUUCUGACCCGUGUCUGUCAGUGUGCGCGUACUCGGGAAGAACUGGGUUAGAUGAGUGCGGAAGUCCUUGCAGCCACCCAGACCACUGAUGUAAUCAGCAAACACUCUCGGGGCAGGUCGUGUUGUGGAUGCUUAAAAUGUGUUGUCUUCUGGAACAGCCGUGUUACUAAGCUAAACCGUAGCGUGAAAUCUUGCAUAAAAUGAAAAUGGCCAAGACCCACCAGAAGUUUUCUAGAAAUACCGAUUGUUCCAAAGUAAAGUGCUCCUAAGUUUUUGUAGCUGUACUUAAAUUGCUUUGUGGGGGGAAAAAAAAACCAACUGAAGCAUG